CCUACGGGUGGCAGCAGUGGGGAAUAUUGCACAAUGGGGGAAACCCUGAUGCAGCGACGCCGCGUGAGUGAAGAAGUAAUUCGUUAUGUAAAGCUCUAUCAGCAGGGACGAAAAUGACGGUACCUGAGUAAGAAGCCCCGGCUAACUACGUGCCAGCAGCCGCGGUAAUACGUAGGGGGCAAGCGUUAUCCGGAUUUACUGGGUGGAAAGGGAGCGUAGACGGGAGUGCAAGUCUGGAGGGAAAGGCGGUGGCUCAACACCCGGACUGCUCUGGAAACUGGACGGCUGGAGUGCAGGAGAGGUAAGUGGAAUUCCUAGUGUAGCGGUGAAAUGCGUAGAUAUUAGGAGGAACACCGGUGGCGAAGGCAGCUUACUGGACUGUAACUGACGUUGAGGCUCGAAAGCGUGGGGAGCAAACAGGAUUAGAUACCCCAGUAGUC
This 440-nucleotide ribosomal RNA is filed under the name uncultured bacterium. Its description in RNAcentral is "partial 16S ribosomal RNA". It matches the Rfam family "Bacterial small subunit ribosomal RNA", at positions 338 to 795 of the family's 1533-position model. The record is from RNAcentral.